RNAcentral lists this ribosomal RNA (189 nucleotides) under uncultured marine bacterium. RNAcentral's name for it is "partial 16S ribosomal RNA". It matches the Rfam family "Bacterial small subunit ribosomal RNA", at positions 338 to 524 of the family's 1533-position model. The record is from RNAcentral.
CCUACGGGAGGCAGCAGUGAGGAAUAUUAGACAAUGGGCGCAAGCCUGAUCUAGCCAUGCCGCGUGCAGGAUGAGGGCCCUAUGGGUUGUAAACUGCUUUUAUACAGGAAGAAAAAACUCUACGUGUAGAGUCUUGACGGUACUGUAAGAAUAAGGAUCGGCUAACUCCGUGCCAGCAGCCGCGGUAAU